AUGACACCAAGUCCUCCCAUGUGCUUUGGCCUACGUACUCUUGCCCACACAUUUGCCCCCCUUCACUUCCUCAGUCCCGGCCCAAAAGAAAGCCCGGCAACCUUUGCUCACUCUUUCAAGUGUCCAUUUUGGCGCCUCAACAAUCAUGAGGUGGUGAGUGGCCCGCGCUCUGAUGACUUGGUUGACAAAAACCAACCUACCGGGUCUAGUCACGAAGCCCCCUUUGCCAUCCCAGCAAGAUGUGAAGGGCAGUGUCCACCACGAGCUACCACUCAAAUCUUUCUAGCUACCAAAUGCUUAGCCCAAAUAUUUGCAUGGGAAGGUGGCAAUCUUCCAAGGCAGCGCCGACUUAACAAUCUCCUCAUCCUCAAGCUCCACCCAAAUCAAGAUAGCCGCAAAUUUGGCAAGAUUCAUUUUAAGCCCAAAUGCCACUCCAAAGAUGGUAAGCGAUUCUUUGACAAACAAGAGAUCCAGCCAUGUAGGUUUGAUGAAAAGAACCACAUUGUCCAUACAAGGACAAACACUGAACUGGGCUACAUCCAUUGA
Molecule: ribosomal RNA, 546 nt
Filed under: Triticum aestivum (bread wheat)
Lineage: Eukaryota; Viridiplantae; Streptophyta; Magnoliopsida; Poales; Poaceae
Description: partial small subunit ribosomal RNA
Source: RNAcentral